AAUAAACCAAUUUUUCAUUUUUACCUAUAAUUUUUGACUCUUCGUCUUAUUUAAAAAAAAUUUGUGAUUGAUAUUUUUGUUUUUAUUAGAUGAUAAAUCAUAAAUAGUACUUUACGUGUGACUAAUUUUUUUUUAAUUUUUUAAAAAAAUUUUAAAUACGGAUUGUCAACCAUCGGACACGAAAACAGAGGGAACAUACACUUAAA
RNAcentral lists this microRNA precursor (206 nucleotides) under Oryza brachyantha (malo sina). RNAcentral's name for it is "MIR812 microRNA precursor family". It matches the Rfam family "MIR812 microRNA precursor family". Lineage: Eukaryota; Viridiplantae; Streptophyta; Magnoliopsida; Poales; Poaceae. The record is from Rfam by way of RNAcentral.